CUUGGUGCUCUGUGCUCAGUUGGACCCACACCAAUCCAUCCCGAACUUGGUAGUGAAAUAGCUGAGGGAGCCGAAAAACUUGACGGGGAGCUGUCUGGGAAAUCGGUUCUAGUGCCAGGGG
RNAcentral lists this ribosomal RNA (121 nucleotides) under Chlorosarcina stigmatica. The record is from RNAcentral. Lineage: Eukaryota; Viridiplantae; Chlorophyta; Chlorophyceae; Chlorosarcinales; Chlorosarcinaceae.